Molecule: long non-coding RNA, 797 nt
Organism: Sycon ciliatum
Lineage: Eukaryota; Metazoa; Porifera; Calcarea; Leucosolenida; Sycettidae
Exons: 3
Source: RefSeq, a predicted model, not a curated record
UUUUCACUGCAGCACUAGCUGUAGUUUCUUCAGUUUUUCAUGCUACAGCCAGUACAGGCAGCCUGUAGACGAGUUGUUGUUGGCAGCGAGGUGGUGUUACAGUUAGUUUAGCCGUCUGCUGCUUCGUGUCAAAGUUUGUUUGGGUGCAGGCUGUGUAAGAAUCUGUGUGUUGGCCAAAGGGUUUCAUUGAAGUUUCCUACUGGCUCGGAGGCUCCAUUCGACUGCUCUAUACCGUCACGACGUCGAAAACUGCUACAGCCUAUCCGCCUACGACGUUCAAAGUCGUGUCCAGGAUUCAAGCAAACCGUGACUCCUGGCUGCAGCCUGCAGGAGCGCUCGUCGCUGGACGUUCAUCGUCCCCGUUUGUCAUGGUGUUCCAGUGAUUCUGGAUGGUGACCGACGUCCGUGACUGUUUCUUUUGUCGCAGUCAUGGCUACAGCAGAGAACCACGCGGUCAACACAUGGCCAUGGUCAAGCCAGAUGUUCCGCAAGUGGAUCCCACGCCUCCAAACAGCGCUCAGCUGCGAUGCAAUUCGUGUUGAAUGCUGUGCCAAGCGGUUGAUCUCCGAUGCGCAGAAGAAGGAAUUGAUGGCGAUAAAAGAUUCGGCCAAACACAAUGACCGACUGCUAGAUAUGCUGAGCAGGGGUACAGCUGAGACUUUCCACACCUUCUGUAGUAUUGUGCGUAGCACCGAACCUGAAGCAAACUUUUCAAAGUUCCUAGAUGACAUGCAGUCAGUGGAUACCUUUGUUGGAGGUAAGUAGAAUUGUUAUCAGUCAGGUGACUGAGAGACACU